GGACGUUCAAUCUUUUGCUGUUGACGCCAGAGAUAGUGGGACAGUCGUUUGCUUGCGUGUUGUAUGUCAUUCGGAACGCACAGCAAAGCUGUUACGCCCGCUAGUCGAGGAGCCAAACACACAUUUUCAUUUUGGGAUGGGUAGGCUUCCGGCAAGACGACCUGGUACGGGGAAGGCUAACCUGUUGACGACAGCAGCAUGCUGAUCCCGUGGCGAGCUUGCAAAGGGCGACCUUUGUGCAGCCGUCGUAACGCACGGAAAGGCGUCGGCUGACUCUCUGAGUCGGCUUAAGGGACGUGCUAAUCCCUUCCGAAAGGAAGCUCAGAACAGUAGCACCCAUUCUGUGAUGGUUCUGAGGGGUGUGAGUGUGCUUGGAGGAAAUGCCAUGCACAGCCCGGUAUUUGUGAAGGAUGGAAGUGAUUGGUGAGCCAGAUCAUUUCCUCUUCUCUGUUAUG
RNAcentral lists this unclassified non-coding RNA (455 nucleotides) under Trebouxiophyceae sp. CCAP 211/53. Its description in RNAcentral is "Chlorella sp. CCAP 211/53 putative intron". The record is from RNAcentral. Lineage: Eukaryota; Viridiplantae; Chlorophyta; Trebouxiophyceae.